CCUACGGGAGGCAGCAGUGAGGAAUAUUGGUCAAUGGUCGCGAGCCUGAACCAGCCAAGUAGCGUGAAGGAUGACUGCCCUACGGGUUGUAAACUUCUUUUAUGCGGGAAUAAAGUGCGGCACGUGUGCUUUUUUGUAGGUACUUUAUGAAUAAGGAUCGGCUAAAUCCGUGCCAGCAGCCGCGGUAAUACGGAGGAUCCGAGCGUUAUCCGGAGUUAUUGGGUUUAAAGGGAGCGUAGGUGGGUUGUUAAGUCUGUUGUGAAAUGUUGCGGCUCAACCGUAAAAUUGCAAUUGAGACUGGCAGUCUUGAGUACAGGAGAGGUAGGCGGAAUUCGUGGUGUAGCGGUGAAAUGCUUAGAUAUCACGAAGAACUCCGAUUGCGAAGGCAGCUUACGAAACUGCCACUGACACUGAUGCUCGAAAGUGUGGGUAUCGAACAGGAUUAGAUACCCGAGUAGUC
Molecule: ribosomal RNA, 460 nt
Filed under: uncultured bacterium
Lineage: Bacteria
Description: partial 16S ribosomal RNA
Rfam family: Bacterial small subunit ribosomal RNA
Source: RNAcentral